AUGUUUGUUGAUACGUUUAUUAUUUUUAUUUUCUCACUGAUCCAAGCUGUGCUGGGAGUGACAGUGGAGCAAGAUCAGCUCUCCUGGGUGAAGGAGGAGGGUAAAAGUGUGUAUAUCAACUGCAGAGUGACUGACCUCACUACUGACUACAUCCACUGGUACCAGCAGAAAGACGGAGAGGCGAUGACUAGAAUACUCUACAUCAAGCACGACGGCACUGGACUCACCAAUCCCCAGGCAAAGGACUUCACUGUGAGCGUAAACAGCAUUGCUAACUCUUAUAAUCUGAAGAUAGACACACUGCAGAAGAGCCAUUCAGCAGUGUAUUACUGCGCCAGCUGGCAGAGUGGCAGCCACAGUGACGCUAAUCACUCACAUCCUGUACAAAAACUGCUACAGCAUGCAACACUCAGUACAGAGCAGAUGAAGAAGCAGUAGAGGAAGUACACUAAUUCAUUAAUUAAGUGUAAAUACUGAA
Astyanax mexicanus (Mexican tetra) is the source of this 478-nucleotide non-coding RNA. Lineage: Eukaryota; Metazoa; Chordata; Actinopteri; Characiformes; Acestrorhamphidae. The record is from the annotation of a RefSeq genome assembly.